AGCUGAUCACUGGGCGUAAAGCGUGCAGGCGGUUUUGUAAGACAGAGGUGAAAUCCCCGGGCUCAACCUGGGAACUGCCUUUGUGACCGCAAGGCUGGAGUGCGGCAGAGGGGGAUGGAAUUCCGCGUGUAGCAGUGAAAUGCGUAGAUAUGCGGAGGAACACCGAUGGCGAAGGCAAUCCCCUGGGCCUGCACUGACGCUCAUGCACGAAAGCGUGGGGAGCAAACA
RNAcentral lists this ribosomal RNA (228 nucleotides) under uncultured Alicycliphilus sp. RNAcentral describes it as "partial 16S ribosomal RNA". It matches the Rfam family "Bacterial small subunit ribosomal RNA", at positions 550 to 774 of the family's 1533-position model. Lineage: Bacteria; Pseudomonadati; Pseudomonadota; Betaproteobacteria; Burkholderiales; Comamonadaceae. The record is from RNAcentral.